RNAcentral lists this ribosomal RNA (523 nucleotides) under Trichodactylus sp. 4 FLM-2013. RNAcentral's name for it is "partial 16S ribosomal RNA". It matches the Rfam family "Archaeal large subunit ribosomal RNA", at positions 1941 to 2680 of the family's 2987-position model. The record is from RNAcentral. Lineage: Eukaryota; Metazoa; Arthropoda; Malacostraca; Decapoda; Trichodactylidae.
GAAGUCUAGCCUGCCCACUGACAAUAGAGAGUUAAAGGGCCGCGGUAUUUUGACCGUGCAAAGGUAGCAUAAUCAUUAGUCUUUUAAUUGAAGGCUUGUAUGAAUGGUUGGACAAAGGAAAAUCUGUCUUUAUAAUAUUAUUUGAAUUUAACUUUUAAGUGAAAAGGCUUAGAUGGGCCAAGGGGACGAUAAGACCCUAUAAAACUUUAUAUAAAAUUAAAUUUGUUUAAAUUUAAUUAUUAAAAACCUGAGUUAAUAAUUAUAUUUUGUUGGGGCGACAUAGGUAUAAGUAAUUAUAAUAACUGUUUAAAUAUAAUACUAUAAAUUUAUGAGUUAAGAUUAUAAAUGAUCCUUAUUAAAGAUUAAAAGAUUAAGUUACUUUAGGGAUAACAGCGUAAUUUUUUUUGAGAGUUCCUAUCGAAAAGAGAGUUUGCGACCUCGAUGUUGAAUUAAAAUAUCUAUAUAAUGUAGUUGUUAUAAAAGAAGGUCUGUUCGACCUUUAAAUUUUUACGUGAUCUGAGUU